GUAGCGGCGAGCGAACGGGGAGCAGCCCAGAGUCUGAAUCAGCUUGUGUGUUAGUGGAACGGUCUGGAAAGUCCGACGGUACAGGGUGAUAGUCCCGUACACCAAAAUGCACAGGCUGUGAACUCGAAGAGUAGGGCGGGACACGUGGUAUCCUGUCUGAAUAUGGGGGGACCAUCCUCCAAGGCUAAAUACUCCUGACUGACCGAUAGUGAACCAGUACCGUGAGGGAAAGGCGAAAAGAACCCCGGCGAGGGGAGUGAAAAAGAACCUGAAACCGUGUACGUACAAGCAGUGGGAGCACCUUCGGGUGUGACUGCGUACCUUUUGUAUAAUGGGUCAGCGACUUAUAUUCUGUAGCAAGGUUAACCGUAUAGGGGAGCCGCAGGGAAACCGAGUCUUAACUGGGCGUUAAGUUGCAGGGUAUAGACCCGAAACCCGGUGAUCUAGCCAUGGGCAGGUUGAAGGUUGGGUAACACUAACUGGAGGACCGAACCGACUAAUGUUGAAAAAUUAGCGGAUGACUUGUGGCUGGGGGUGAAAGGCCAAUCAAACCGGGAGAUAGCUGGUUCUCCCCGAAAGCUAUUUAGGUAGCGCCUCGUGAAUUCAUCUUCGGGGGUAGAGCACUGUUUCGGCUAGGGGGUCAUCCCGACUUACCAACCCGAUGCAAACUACGAAUACCGAAGAAUGUUAUCACGGGAGACACACGGCGGGUGCUAACGUCCGUCGUGAAGAGGGAAACAACCCAGACCGCCAGCUAAGGUCCCAAAGUCAUGGUUAAGUGGGAAACGAUGUGGGAAGGCACAGACAGCCAGGAUGUUGGCUUAGAAGCAGCCAUCAUUUAAAGAAAGCGUAAUAGCUCACUGGUCGAGUCGGCCUGCGCGGAAGAUGUAACGGGGCUAAACCAUGCACCGAAGCUGCGGCAGCGACACUAUG
This 933-nucleotide ribosomal RNA is filed under the name Klebsiella pneumoniae. RNAcentral's name for it is "partial 23S ribosomal RNA". It matches the Rfam family "Bacterial large subunit ribosomal RNA", at positions 243 to 1218 of the family's 2925-position model. The record is from RNAcentral. Lineage: Bacteria; Pseudomonadati; Pseudomonadota; Gammaproteobacteria; Enterobacterales; Enterobacteriaceae.